RNA transcript from Cucumis melo (muskmelon), 1980 nucleotides. RefSeq lists it as uncharacterized. Lineage: Eukaryota; Viridiplantae; Streptophyta; Magnoliopsida; Cucurbitales; Cucurbitaceae. The transcript has 8 exons. The record is from RefSeq and is a predicted model, not a curated record.
AUUUAAUUUUAGGCGCGACGUUUUAUCCAUAUAUUUUGUGAACUCCGACGAGAGGCGAGAAUCUCGACUCCUCAAAUUUCACGGGAGCAGUCGGACAGCCAAUUGCCACACCGCCCAUGGUGGCGACGUUUGUUCCUUUUUGCUCGAACUUCACCCUAAAACUCUGCCAUUCUAAUCCCCCUUUGAUCCUCGCACCCCUACGCAAAAAUCAAAGAGGCGCGAAGUUGAAAUGUUGCGGUGUUGCGAGGCCUCAAAUUCUGCCUUCUGCAUUCGGUGAAGACGAUGGCCUUCGAGUCUUUGUGCUCUCCGAUCUGCAUACGGAUUACGACGAAAAUAUGAACUGGAUUCACUCCUUGUCAUCGGACAAAUAUAGAGACGAUGUUCUAAUUGUUGCCGGAGAUGUAGCCGAGACCAUAAGUAAUUUUGUUUCAACAAUGGCUACGUUGAAGGAUAGAUUUGAGCGCGUCUUCUUUGUGCCUGGGAAUCACGAUUUGUGGUGCCGUCGGGAGGGAGACAAUUAUCUCGAUUCUCUUGAGAAGAUGAGUAAACUUCUUGAUGCGUGUAUAGAUCUUGGAGUUGAUACCAAUCCGGCAAUCUUGAACGGAUUGGGAAUAGUUCCGUUAUUCUCUUGGUAUCACGAGAGCUUUGACAGAGAAAUGGACUUACAGGGCAUCCGCAUUCCAUCUCUGGAGAUGGUGUGUAAAGACUUCCAUGCAUGUAAAUGGCCUGGAGAUCUUUCAAAUGAAGGUGCUUCACUAGCAUUGUUCUUUGAUGCAAUGAAUGAAAAGAAUAAUAUAAUCAUUGAGAAGAUUCGAAGAACCUGCAGUCAGAUAAUUACAUUUUCUCACUUUGUUCCCAGGCUAGAGCUAUGUCCAGAAAAGAGGAUGCUCUUCUACCCAAAACUCCCUAAAAUCAUUGGCUCAGAUUAUCUCGAGGAUCGUAUAAGAUCAAUACAUGGGAGUAAAGAAACAACAUCAGCAUGUCAUGUGUUUGGUCAUACCCAUUUCUGCUGGGAUUUAGUACUUGAUGGCAUCAGGUAUGUCCAGGCACCAUUGGCUUAUCCCAGAGAACGCAAGAGAAGGAUGAAUGGCGGCGAAAAUUGGCUUCCUUUUUGCAUUUAUUCCAACGAAAGGUUCGCUCAUAAACUCACUCCUUGUUACUGGUCCGAUUAUUAUGCAGCCAAUCCAAGAUCACCACACGACACUCAGCUUGCUCCCUGGGUUGCCAAAUUCUAUAAAAGGAAUUGAAAGAACAGUUCAGGAAUGAGAUAAACAACUGACGAGGACGAGAAGGAUAUGCAUUAAGGGAAAAACUUUGGACCUAUUCCUGCUAAUCAUACCAAGAGCGAGAACGGAGCCUUCGCCAGCGAAGACGAAGAUGAAAGUGGAAAUGAACUCAGCCAAGGUGGCACGAAUGGAGUCGGGGUGGGUGGCCUCAUCGGCCCGUCCAAAAGCGUAUCGUCUCGGCGGCAUAACGGCGGUGAAAAACAGAAUCACCAAAACUCAAAACACUUCCUCCCGAAGCAGAGCGUUUGGUUAAGUCUCCUUUCCUUUCUUGGUUGUCGAAAGACCUGAAAGUGGAAAAUUAUGGUAUGUGAGAGCUUGAAAUUGCAAAUCUGCAUGUAGGAUUGUGGGAUUUUUAAAACGAGGGGGAAAAUGAGGGAUUGAGAGAAGGAUGACAGGUGGAAAUAGGUGGUGGUUUUGGGGUGACACGUAAUGAUAUGUGUAAGCUCUUCAAUUUCGAUUCCAAACACAAAAUCACACUCUCUUAUCUUUUCCCUUGCUUUGGAUUUGUUUGGACGUUUUGGAGCUGUUCCGUUUCGGACGAUAUAUAGAUAUACAUCCCGAAGUUAUCCUGCCUUUGAUGCAUUUCCCCAUUUCCUUUCCUUCCUUUCGUCUUACCUGUUUUGGAUGUUGGCCCAUUUGCCUGAUCCAUUUAUGCAAUACACUAAUAAGGCCCAAGGCCCAUUUCCUAUUUCAA